This is a non-coding RNA of Myodes glareolus (Bank vole), 219 nucleotides long. Lineage: Eukaryota; Metazoa; Chordata; Mammalia; Rodentia; Cricetidae. The record is from RefSeq and is a predicted model, not a curated record.
UGCAAAGUCGCUGCCGGGACAACAACGCAUCAUUUCCACCGCUGGGUGACGUCAUUCCGGCGCGCCAGCAGGGCUACAUCCGGGUUUCGGCUGGAGGACUCCUCAAAGGUUUUCCGCCUGUGGAUGAAACCUGUGUGUACCGCAAUCGCUGAACGAGGUGCAGCUGUGAAGUGUCAGUCAUAAAGGCCGCAGCCUUCCAGUGCCUCAGAAGCUGCUCAG